UACGUAGGGCGCAAGCGUUAUCCGGAAUUAUUGGGCGUAAAGAGCUCGUAGGCGGUUUGUCGCGUCUGCCGUGAAAGUCCGGGGCUCAACUCCGGAUCUGCGGUGGUACGGGCAGACUAGAGUGAUGUAGGGGAGACUGGAAUUCCUGGUGUAGCGGUGAAAUGCGCAGAUAUCAGGAGGAACACCGAUGGCGAAGGCAGGUCUCUGGGCAUUAACUGACGCUGAGGAGCGAAAGCAUGGGGAGCGAACAGG
RNAcentral lists this ribosomal RNA (252 nucleotides) under uncultured bacterium. RNAcentral describes it as "partial 16S ribosomal RNA". It matches the Rfam family "Bacterial small subunit ribosomal RNA", at positions 524 to 776 of the family's 1533-position model. The record is from RNAcentral.